CACGUACAAACUCAGAGUGGUAUGUCAGGAGCGCAUGAGUGUGCCCAUUGCCAUUUGAGAUAUGUCAGGUCAGUCAGGAGAGAUUUAGAAGCCACCCAAUUCCAGAUUAAUCACAAGUCCCAACAGCUAUUGAGCAAUCAAGUUGAAAGAGUACCACUGCUGUAGCAGAUGCAAUUUGGUUGCCAACCACAACUGAGCAAGGAGAUUUACAGGGACCAGUACUGGAGUAUCAUCACCAAGCUAUCACAUACCAACAUUGAAGAAGAGACAAUGAACACUUCUUCCUUACAUGUGCUCUAUACAACUGUGAGAGACAUGUGAUAGUAUCAAGUGACAAGUAUGCAUGCCUGGGAGUCCUCCUAAUAUCUGUGCAGCUGCUUCACGUUGGAGGCAAUUACCUCAGGAGAGUUCAAUACUCCAUAGUGCAAGCAACUGCUACUUACCUCAUGCAAACAGGUUGUCUAACUACCUCUUAGCUGGUGAAGAACAAGGAAUCUUAUAAUGAUUUUGUCACCCAUUGCUUAAAAUUGUGAGAGACUACUGAUUACAUGGAGAGAAUGCACCAGAAGAAAGGAAAAGGAAAACAUGAAAAACAAUUUGAAUGAUCCAGAUAAGUUGGACGAAAGUCCUCAAAUACCACAAGAAGAAAAUGAAACUGAAAAUACACAUAACUAUCCAAGUCAAAUAAAUCAACUCAAUGAUGAAUUGUUAGAGAUGGCACAGGCGUUGAACAUUGUUAAUACAAGAGCAGAUUUGGCCACAGAAACAAGUGAAGAUUUGACUG
Long non-coding RNA from Hyalella azteca, 784 nucleotides. RefSeq lists it as uncharacterized. The record is from RefSeq and is a predicted model, not a curated record. The transcript is spliced from 3 exons. Lineage: Eukaryota; Metazoa; Arthropoda; Malacostraca; Amphipoda; Hyalellidae.